Molecule: transfer RNA, 67 nt
Filed under: Thermostaphylospora chromogena
Lineage: Bacteria; Bacillati; Actinomycetota; Actinomycetes; Streptosporangiales; Thermomonosporaceae
Description: tRNA_Val_CAC
Source: RNAcentral
CGCCGAGCACGCGAGCGCUUCGUUCACACCGAAGAGGUCACUGGUUCGAUCCCAGUAUCGCCCACCA